GACGAACGCUGGCGGCGUGCUUAACACAUGCAAGUCGAACGGAAAGGCCCUGCUUUUGUGGGGUGCUCGAGUGGCGAACGGGUGAGUAACACGUGAGUAACCUGCCCUUGACUUUGGGAUAACUUCAGGAAACUGGGGCUAAUACCGGAUAGGAGCUCCUGCUGCAUGGUGGGGGUUGGAAAGUUUCGGCGGUUGGGGAUGGACUCGCGGCUUAUCAGCUUGUUGGUGGGGUAGUGGCUUACCAAGGCUUUGACGGGUAGCCGGCCUGAGAGGGUGACCGGCCACAUUGGGACGGAGAUACGGCCCAGACGCCUACGGGAGGCAGCAGUGGGGAAUAUUGCACAAGGGGCGGAAGCCUGAUGCAGCAACGCCGCGUGCGGGAUGACGGCCUUCGGGUUGUAAACCGCUUUCGCCUGUGACGAAGCGUGAGUGACGGUAAUGGGUAAAGAAGCACCGGCUAACUACG
Molecule: ribosomal RNA, 466 nt
Filed under: uncultured bacterium
Lineage: Bacteria
Description: partial 16S ribosomal RNA
Rfam family: Bacterial small subunit ribosomal RNA
Source: RNAcentral